GUGCUUGCUUUGGCAGCACAUAGACUAGAUUGGAACAAUACAGAGGAGACUAGGAAGGCCCCUGCGCAAGGACAACAUGCCAAUUUGUUAAGCAUUCUAUAUUUUU
Small nuclear RNA from Acomys russatus (golden spiny mouse), 106 nucleotides. NCBI's taxonomy places the organism in Eukaryota, Metazoa, Chordata, Mammalia, Rodentia, Muridae. The record is from RefSeq and is a predicted model, not a curated record.